This 4235-nucleotide long non-coding RNA is filed under the name Homo sapiens (human). RNAcentral describes it as "non-protein coding lnc-SRP54-1:4". Lineage: Eukaryota; Metazoa; Chordata; Mammalia; Primates; Hominidae. The record is from RNAcentral.
AACGUGCUCGGCGCGCAGCUGGCCGGCCGGCCAGCCCAACGCCGCCAGAGCGCUCGCCGCGGGCGGACCCCGGAGCUGCUCCGCUUUGUUCCCGGCUCGCCUCCACUUCCCCGCCGGCGCCGGCCGGCUCCCGAGCGACCCUCACCUGCGAUCACGCCGACUGCCACUUGUCCACCUUCUCCACUACAAAGGCAACGAGGGGAGACCCCGUCCUCCCAGGGGACCGCCUCUCUCCGGCCCCGCCGCGCCCCUGGCUGCCGCUUCUCCCGCUGCCACUGCCCGACUCCGCGCGGGGAAUUGCGUCCCACCGCCACUUCCCCGCCUCUCGGAGCUCCUGGGAAGUUUCUGAUCUACUUUCGGCUCUGAAGGAGGAAGAGCUGUUGGGAGGAGCUUUUCACUCCUCGCUUCUACCUUUUUAUUGGCUACUCGAUGACUUUUACAGCCUGUCACUGAUACAGGAAGAGACAGCGGAGAGCCUGGGAGAACUACAUUAUUAAUUAAUGGAGCAACCCCUCGUGAAGAUUCAGAAGCAUCCUCCAUGUUUGAGAUUAUCAGCCAAAAGAUCUAGGGAAAGCGCUGGGGGUUCAUAAACACAUGGCUAACAAAGUAAAGCCUUCAAGUCUGGCACAGACUCUUGACUACACGAUGGGAAAAGGGAUUCCAAUUACGAUUUAACUUGUAUUUUAAAGAUGAGAAAAGAAAUGAAUAAGAAAAUUUGUUGCUAUUUUUCUUCUUCCAAAUUAGAAUCUAUAUCUCUAAAAAUACUUUGCAUGUUUAGUAAACAUCCAUCUUGAACAGAAGAUACCUUGACAUCAGUUCUAUUUAAUACUUAUGGCAAUUAAGAGAUUUAGAAAGCAGAGGAAAAGACCAAAAAAAAAGUAUGUGUUACAAAGUGUCAUCAUGCUUGUAGGACCCCAGCAUUCUUGAAACUAACGCACCUUUAAAAAGUAAUAUUUACACUGCUGUAAAUAUUUGCAAAGUAUCAAUGUUUAAUUCACUUAGAAUUUUAAGGAUUAUGGAUUUACUAGCGAAAAUUCCCCUAAAGCAACUUUCCCAUAUCAGUAACUUUUAUUUAGGGAAACAAGUUUAAUGUACAUAAUACAUGUGACCUUGGAAUUCAAUAGAAUUUUCGAAACUAGAAGUAACUCAGAACGUUCACUAGAUGUGUUUUAAAGUCUUUUUUGAUACUGUCCUUAACAUUUGCUUAUUUGCAAAUUAAUAUGUAAGAAUGAGUCUAAAAGUAAGUUUUAGGAAUGGUUAUUCGACAAAGAUGUUAUUCCUAUUACCAAUACUGCGAAAUGAUAAUUACAGAAACAAUGUGGGAUCCGUUUUAUAACUUCAAAUUUAAGUUCCUUUGUACUUUGGAGCAGAAAAUGUAAGAAAUCGAAAUCAAGAGUUAGUAUUUUUUAUCUUUCAGGCUGGCUUUAACUGUUCAUACACCUAGCAAAAUAAACAUUUGUGAAAGGCGUUAUUCUUUGGGUGUUUUAAAUUUCAUUAAUACUAUGAAUGCACCUUACUGUACAGAAGUCACAGAAGUUUGGAAAUGCUCCUGUAAGUAGUAAGUAUAUACUUUAGUAUCGGUUAACUCUUCAAAUAAGAGUUUACAGAUUUAAUUUUUUUUUUUUUUUUGAGACAGAGUCUCACUCUGUCCCCCAGGCUGGAGUGCGGUGGCACGAUCUCGGCUCACUGCAACCUCUACCUCCUGAGUUCAAGCGAUUCUCCUGCCUCAGCCUCCCAAGUAGCUGGGAUUACAGGCGCACACCACCACGUCCAGCUAAUUUUUGUAUUUUCAGUAGAGACGGGGUUUCACCAUGUUGGCCAGGGUGGUCUCAAACUCCCGAUCUCAGGUGAUCCGCCAGCCUUGGCCUCCCAAAGUGCUGGGAUUACAGGCGUGAGCUACCGCGCCCGGCCAAGAUUUGGUGUUUUAAACCUGUCUCCAACUAGUAUACUGAGUGACAAGUUAGAAUUCCCUGCCUAGAAAGUAUUUAUUGGGCCGGGCGCGGUGGCUCAUGCCUGUAAUCCCAACACUUUGGGAGGCCAAGGCGGCCGGAUCAUGAGGUUAGGAGGUUGAGACCAUGCUGGCCAACAUGGUGAAACCCUGUCUCCACUAAAAGUAAAAAAUUAGCUGGGCAUGGCGCUGGGUGCCUGUAAUCCCAGCUGCUCGGGAGGCUGAGGCAGGAGGCGGAGGUUGUCCUGAGCCGAGAUGGCGCCACUGCGCUCCAGCCUGGGCGACAGAGACUCCGUCUCAAAAAAAAAAAAAAAAAAAAAAAAAAAAAAAAAGUAUUUAUUGAUCUACCAGGUGAAAAAUUUAGAGCCCACAAAGGUAAACUCAAAAGGGGGAUUGGGAAAAUGGAUAAUUUUCAAGCUAUAUUGAAGCAUCACCCUCACAACUCAAAAUCCCAAUUUAACAAUUAAGCUAAAUAAAGAUGAAAUUCUUUCUGAAUACGUCAGUAUUUAUAUUUAUUAGAUCUUACUGUUCAAUAAGUCAUUCAAAUCAUGAUCAAAAGUCGUUAUUUUAUUAUUAAAUACAAAUAUUUAAGUUGGGUUUUUUCUUAUACUAGCUUAAAAUUUUAUUCUAUUCCAUCAAAAGCUAUCAUGCUCAGUUUUCUCACGAUCAUACUCAAAUUUCAAUACUAUCAUAACUUAUUUCUCUGAAUUAUAUACAUAUGGUUUAUUUUAAUGAUUUGUGGCAUUUAAUGAAUGUUAUACAGUUGUUCAUUGUUAUUUCAGAACAAUGUAAGUUUAGAAAAUUAUAAUUAAAAUGUUCAAAAGUUUAGUUUUAAUGUGUUUAUAAUACUCAAAUGAAUAGACUACCUAAACUGCCUCAUGAAAUAACAUUUAAAGUAUUCUACACAUUCACAACUAAAAGCUUACCUAAUUUAUGAUCUAUUUCUGUAUUUUGGUAUCAUGAUUUCUUCCCUGCUUUGUUAAUUACUACUUCUUGGCUUUUGAGAAUAAAAAGCUCAUUGCUGUAUUCAGAAAGUAGUUAAAGGAUACUGUCAUAACAUAGGACUUUGUGUAAAAAAUUUUUUUGGAAAUAUUGUCAAGGAAACAAAGCUAAAGUGGCACAAAAAAAGAGAAGGCAAUGAUAUUAAAAUUAUUUAAUUUUUAACAAUUUAAACAUUUGUCAAGCUCCUUUUGUGUGCCAAGACACUGUACUAGCUCAUGUAAGGGAUACAAUGUAAAUAAAUGUAUCCUGGCUUCAAAAAAUGUAUAAUCUUAUAGGAAAGAGACAAUGCAAAUACAACCAAUACAAGAAUUAUGUGAAUCCUGAUGAUCACGAGUAAUAUAAUGCAAAAAGAGAAGUAGAAAAUAUUAGAAUAAAAUGUAGAAGGAAGACCCCAGGAUCAGUCCUAAAUGAAGUCAUCUACAGGGCAUGAUUUGAAGGGCAACAGAGAACUCAUGCUCCAACAUAUCCUCGCCAGUCUCAAGCGACAACCCCAUCAAUCUCCAUUAGUCGUCCUUCAGCAUGAAGACACGUAAAAUGGGAAUAUUCUAGUUAGGCAGAACAUAUAUUAAUCUAAUACUAUCAAGACAUAGUUUGAUUAAAAUAUCAAUUUUGAGACACAUACUGCCUUAGAAGUAAAGACAAAACAAGACUAUGGGCCAGGCGAAGUGACUCACACCUGUAAUGCCAGCACUUUGGGAGGCCAAGGCAGGUGGAUGAGGUCAGGAGUUCAAGACCAGCCUGACCAACAUGGUGAAACCCUGUCUCUACUAAAAAUACAAAAUUAGCUGGGCAUGGUGGCACACGCCUGUAAUUCCAGCUACUUGGGAGGCUGAGGCAGGAGAAUCACUUGAACCCAGGAGGCAGAGGUUGCAGUGAGCCAAGAUCAUGCCAUUGCACUCCGGUUUGAGCAACAAGAGCAAAAUUCCAUCAAAGAAAAAAAAAAGACUGGAAUUUUAAGUUUUAUUAUUUAUUUAUUUUUGAGACAGUCUCUUACCCUGUUGCCCAGGCUGGGGUGCAGUGGCACGAUCUCAGCUCAUGCAACCUCUGCCUCCUGAUGCAACCUCUGCCUCCUGCGUUCAAGUGAUUCUCCUGCCUCAGCCUCCCGAGUAGCCGGGAUUACAGGUGCCUGCCACCAUACCCAGCUAAUUUUUGUAUUUUAGGUAGAGACGGGGUUUCCCCAUGUUGGCCAGGCUGGUCUCGAACUCCUGACUUCAGGUGAUCCACUCGCCUUGGCCUCCCAAAGUGCUGGGAUUACAGGCAUGAGCCACCGCACCUGGCCCGGAAU